RNAcentral lists this ribosomal RNA (253 nucleotides) under uncultured bacterium. Its description in RNAcentral is "partial 16S ribosomal RNA". It matches the Rfam family "Bacterial small subunit ribosomal RNA", at positions 524 to 776 of the family's 1533-position model. The record is from RNAcentral.
UACGUAGGGGGCUAGCGUUGUCCGGAAUCAUUGGGCGUAAAGCGCGCGUAGGCGGCCCGGUAAGUCCGCUGUAAAAGUCCAGGGCUCAACCCUGGAACGCCGGUGGAUACUGUCGGGCUAGAGUCCGGAAGAGGCGAGUGGAAUUCCUGGUGUAGCGGUGGAAUGCGCAGAUAUCAGGAGGAACACCGAUGGCGAAGGCAGCUCGCUGGGACGGUACUGACGCUGAGGCGCGAAAGCUAGGGGAGCAAACGGG